CUGCUUACACAUUUUCUACUCAGAGAUAACUGCUCAGUCAGAGCUCUUCAGACCUCAAAGUGGCCCGGGGCCUGGGUCUGGUGGGGAGGUGCUGCUUUGGCAACACAGAAGCCUCUGCUGCCUCUGGGAGCUGAGCCCACACCUUUCCUUCAAUCUGCAGGUGGUUUCAGAGAACAGACUCAAACAGCUGAGCGCUGAUUUUCCAGUAUGUACAAACUUGAAACACCCAUUCGCACUGAUAUCACAACCCUCGAAUCCUCGCAUAUACAUACAAAUGUGGUCAAAGGUAGGUUCACUGAAACGUACGUAUUUUCAAACAUAUGUCAAGAACUGUGAAUAGUCUGAGAUUUUUCUCCUACUUGCCAGCAAGAGAUUUCCCUGCCACAGUGUCAUGGAUGCUGGUAGAAAACACAAAAUUCCUGGAUUAGGCAUGAAGGACGGUUUAUUUCUAACAGCAAUCUCAGUUGCCAGAGUAUCGGCAUUUUGGUGCCAGGUCUCUGAGUUGUCAUUUCUACAGGGUGACAUGAGAAGGACUCAGUGACACCUGCAUCACCAGCCCCUUACGAUGGUAGUGUGUUCCUUAGUCACAGGACCGGGGCUGCUUGAAGAAGACACGAAGCCUGGAUCAGAGGGAUGUAGGCAUGCUCUUCCCUGACACUCGUCAGUUUCUCAGACCAGUCAGUCACUGCGUUGCAGCUGGCCGCAUACGUAUUUGCACCAAUACUUCUUGACCAGCUUUUCUUCUUUCUGACUGCCUCUUGUUCUGCCUUUUUUCCCCUCAUUCAAAAAAGAAACAAACUCUUUGUCUUCUUUUUCAUAACCUUCCAACCUCCACUACCUCCGAUUUUUAAUCACAUCAUUUACCAGAAGUUUCUAUAUCAGAUCAUCAGCUUUCUGGGUCUGGUGCGUUCCCCGGCUGAGAUUUCUUUUUAGGGCAUCACACUGGGCUAGUUCCACUGUUUUCCCCAACCCACGCCUUCCUCUUUUGUAGAUUCCUUUUUCAUUUUGCUUGUAGCACACCCUCAAACAACCUUUUCUAAAAGGCUAUUUAGUUGAUAGUCUAUGUAGUUACAAGAUGAAAGGCUCAAAAUCACUUUCCCUCUGAACCCAUUCUAACUGUCUGAGCUGUUGCUAUGAAUUCUGGGGCUAAUUUGAUCCUCUUUCUUGGUAAGUGAUCUGUUUUUCCCUCUCUGGAAGAUAAGAUCUUAUCACUGGUCUCCUCAAAUUUCAUAAGUAUAUUCCAAGGAGUUCUGCCUUUCAGACCAAAGAUCUAUGUCUUCAAACUAGGUCAUUUUUUCCUGACCUCAAAACCUACACAACUGGUUUUCUCUUUCUGGAAA
This is a long non-coding RNA of Bos indicus x Bos taurus (hybrid cattle), 1340 nucleotides long. The record is from Ensembl. NCBI's taxonomy places the organism in Eukaryota, Metazoa, Chordata, Mammalia, Artiodactyla, Bovidae.